UACGUAGGGAGCAAGCGUUGUCCGGAAUUACUGGGUGUAAAGGGAGCGUAGGCGGGAUGGCAAGUCAGGUGUGAAAACUAUGGGCUCAACUCAUAGAUUGCACUUGAAACUGUUGUUCUUGAGUGAAGUAGAGGUAAGCGGAAUUCCUGGUGUAGCGGUGAAAUGCGUAGAUAUCAGGAGGAACACCGGUGGCGAAGGCGGCUUACUGGGCUUUUACUGACGCUGAGGCUCGAAAGCGUGGGGAGCAAACAGGAUUAGAUACC
This 263-nucleotide ribosomal RNA is filed under the name uncultured bacterium. RNAcentral's name for it is "partial 16S ribosomal RNA". It matches the Rfam family "Bacterial small subunit ribosomal RNA", at positions 524 to 786 of the family's 1533-position model. The record is from RNAcentral.